RNAcentral lists this ribosomal RNA (497 nucleotides) under uncultured bacterium. Its description in RNAcentral is "partial 16S ribosomal RNA". It matches the Rfam family "Bacterial small subunit ribosomal RNA", at positions 28 to 507 of the family's 1533-position model. The record is from RNAcentral.
GACGAACGCUGGCGGCGUGCCUAAUACAUGCAAGUAGAACGCUGAAGGAGGGAGCUUGCUCUUUCUGGAUGAGUUGCGGACGGGUGAGUAACGCGUAGGUAACCUGCCUGGUAGCGGGGGAUAACUAUUGGAAACGAUAGCUAAUACCGCAUAAAAUUGAUUAUUGCAUGAUAGUCAAUUAAAAGGUGCAACUGCACCACUACCAGAUGGACCUGCGUUGUAUUAGCUAGUUGGUGGGGUAACGGCUCACCAAGGCGACGAUACAUAGCCGACCUGAGAGGGUGAUCGGCCACACUGGGACUGAGACACGGCCCAGACUCCUACGGGAGGCAGCAGUAGGGAAUCUUCGGCAAUGGACGGAAGUCUGACCGAGCAACGCCGCGUGAGUGAAGAAGGUUUUCGGAUCGUAAAGCUCUGUUGUAAGAGAAGAACGAGUGUGAGAGUGGAAAGUUCACACUGUGACGGUAUCUUACCAGAAAGGGACGGCUAACUACGUG